CGUGUAGGCGGCUAGGUAGGUCCGUUGUGAAAACUCGAGGCUCAACCUCGAGACGCCGAUGGAAACCAUCUAGCUAGAGUCCGGAAGAGGAGAGUGGAAUUCCUGGUGUAGCGGUGAAAUGCGCAGAUAUCAGGAAGAACACCCGUGGCUAAGGCGGCUCUCUAGUACGGUACUGACGCUGAGACGCGAAAGCGUGGGGAGCAAACA
Molecule: ribosomal RNA, 207 nt
Filed under: uncultured bacterium
Lineage: Bacteria
Description: partial 16S ribosomal RNA
Rfam family: Bacterial small subunit ribosomal RNA
Source: RNAcentral